This 505-nucleotide ribosomal RNA is filed under the name uncultured bacterium. RNAcentral's name for it is "bacterial SSU rRNA". It matches the Rfam family "Bacterial small subunit ribosomal RNA", at positions 791 to 1301 of the family's 1533-position model. The record is from RNAcentral.
UAGUCCACGCCGUAAACGAUGGUCACUAGCUGUGUGGAUUUCGGUCUGCGUGGCUAAGCGAAAGUGAUAAGUGACCCACCUGGGGAGUACGUUCGCAAGAAUGAAACUCAAAGGAAUUGACGGGGGCCCGCACAAGCGGUGGAGCAUGUGGUUUAAUUCGAUGAUACGCGAGGAACCUUACCAGGGCUUAAAUGUAGUAUGACAGGACUAGAGAUAGUUUUUUCUUCGGACAUAUUACAAGGUGCUGCAUGGUUGUCGUCAGCUCGUGCCGUGAGGUGUCAGGUUAAGUCCUAUAACGAGCGCAACCCCUGCCGUUAGUUGCCGGCAUUUAAAGAUGGGGACUCUAGCGGGACUGCCGGUGCAAACCGAGAGGAAGGUGGGGACGACGUCAAAUCAUCAUGGCCCUUACGCCUAGGGCUACACACAUGCUACAAUGGUCAGUACAAUGGGUAGCGACAUAGUGAUAUGAAGCCAAUCUCAAAAAGCUGAUCUCAGUUCGGAGUUG